AUCUUUCUACAAAUUAUACCUCUUAUAACAAUUGUUUGUAACAAACGAAAGAAUUAUAGAAAUACAAGAAUAAUGAGAAAGGGAUAGCUAAGGGGAGAUGUCCCCUUCAUGGUGGGACAUUAUGUUGGGGUGUUAAAAAAAAAUACACGAAUGGGCACAUUUGGUGGCUUUUUUCAACUUCAGACAAACAUAGUCCCAAAGUUGAGACCAAUCCCUAAUUUCCCAUUCUUCUUGUCUUCAUUUGGGCCUCCAUUGUCAAUAUCUGACACCCCAUCUGUCUGAAUCCAUGAAAACUACAUCCUCCUUUUAUUAAAUCG
This is a long non-coding RNA of Arabidopsis thaliana (thale cress), 317 nucleotides long. RefSeq annotates it as other RNA. The record is from RefSeq. The transcript has a single exon. NCBI's taxonomy places the organism in Eukaryota, Viridiplantae, Streptophyta, Magnoliopsida, Brassicales, Brassicaceae.